ACGUACUGUGCGAACGUUAUUCGGAAUCACUGGGCUUAAAGGGUGCGUAGGCGGCGAUACAAGUCAGGUGUGAAAUGCCGGAGCUCAACUGCGGCAUUGCGCUUGAAACUGUGUUGCUUGAGUAUUUCAGGGGUGUGGGGAACUGCCAGUGGAGCGGUGAAAUGUGUUGAUAUUGGCAGGAACACCGGAGGCGAAAGCGCCACACUGGGGAAUAACUGACGCUGAGGCACGAAAGCUAGGGGAGCGAACGGG
RNAcentral lists this ribosomal RNA (252 nucleotides) under uncultured bacterium. RNAcentral's name for it is "partial 16S ribosomal RNA". It matches the Rfam family "Bacterial small subunit ribosomal RNA", at positions 525 to 776 of the family's 1533-position model. The record is from RNAcentral.